GACGAACGCUGGCGGCGUGCUUAACACAUGCAAGUCGAACGGGCCCGCUCUCUUUUUUGGGGGUGGGUUGAGUGGCGAACGGGUGAGUAUCCCGUGAGUAACCUGCCCCCUGCUCCUGGAUAACUACUUGAAAGGGCGGCUAAUACGGGGUGUGCCGGCUGGUCCGCAUGGGCCUGGUCGGGAUAGUUUCAUCUUCGGGUGUUUCGGUGGGGGAUGGGCUCGCGGCCUAUCAGCUUGUUGGUGGGGUGAUGGCCCACCAAGGCGGUGACGGGUAGCCGGCCUGAGAGGGUGGGCGGCCACACUGGGACUGAGACACGGCCCAGACUCCUGCGGGAGGCAGCAGUGGGGGGUAUUGCACAAUGGGCGGAAGCCUGAUGCAGCGACGUCGCGUGAGGGAUGGAGGCCUUCGGGUUGUGAACCUCUUUCUCCGGUGGUGAAGGCCCUGUCCGUUGCGGCGGGGUUGACGGUAGCCGGGUAUGAAGCGCCGGCUAACUACGUG
Molecule: ribosomal RNA, 499 nt
Filed under: uncultured bacterium
Lineage: Bacteria
Description: partial 16S ribosomal RNA
Rfam family: Bacterial small subunit ribosomal RNA
Source: RNAcentral